Molecule: ribosomal RNA, 397 nt
Filed under: uncultured bacterium
Lineage: Bacteria
Description: bacterial SSU rRNA
Rfam family: Bacterial small subunit ribosomal RNA
Source: RNAcentral
GACGAACGCUGGCGGCGUGCUUAACACAUGCAAGUCGAACGGCAGCAUAAUUUGUAGCAAUACAAAUGGAUGGCGAGUGGCGGACGGGUGAGUAACACGUAGGAAUCUGCCCUAAAGAGGGGGAGUAACCCGACGGAAACGUACGGGCGUAAUACCGCAUAAUCUCUGAGGAGAAAGACUGGGGUAACCGUGGCGCUUUAGGUAGGAGCCUGCGUCUGAUUAGCUAGUUGGUGGGGUAAAGGCCACCAAGGCGACGAUCAGUAGCUGGUCUGAGAGGAUGAUCAGCCACACUGGGACUGAGACACGGCCCAGACUCCUACGGGAGGCAGCAGUGGGGAAUAUUGGACAAUGGGGGCAACCCUGAUCCAGCAAUACCGCGUGUGUGAAGAAGGCCUGG